Molecule: unclassified non-coding RNA, 96 nt
Organism: Carlito syrichta (Philippine tarsier)
Lineage: Eukaryota; Metazoa; Chordata; Mammalia; Primates; Tarsiidae
Source: Ensembl
UUGCAAAUUUGUAGCCUCCUUAGGAUGGAACUAACUAGAGUUCUUCUCUCUGCAGCUGAGGCUCACUGCCCCCGGUGGGCAGUGAGUUGGUGGGUU